CCUACGGGAGGCAGCAGUGAGGAAUAUUGGUCAAUGGCCGGAAGGCUGAACCAGCCAUGCCGCGUGAAGGUCAGUGCCCUAUGGGCGUUAAACUUCUUUUGUGCGGGAGCAAUAAUGGUCACGUGUGGCCAGACGAGAGUACCGUACGAAUAAGCAUCGGCUAACUCCGUGCCAGCAGCCGCGGUAAUACGGGGGAUGCAAGCGUUAUCCGGAUUUAUUGGGUUUAAAGGGUGCGUAGGCUGUGCGGUAAGUCAGCGGUGAAAUGCCCCCGCUCAACGGGGUGAAGUGCCAUUGAUACUGCCUGGCUGGAAUGCGGAUGCGGUGGGAGGAAUGUGUGGUGUAGCGGUGAAAUGCAUAGAUAUCACACAGAACACCGAUUGCGAAGGCAUCUCACGAAUCCGCGAUUGACGCUGAUGCACGAAAGCGUGGGUAUCAAACAGGAUUAGAUACCCCGGUAGUC
RNAcentral lists this ribosomal RNA (460 nucleotides) under uncultured bacterium. RNAcentral's name for it is "partial 16S ribosomal RNA". It matches the Rfam family "Bacterial small subunit ribosomal RNA", at positions 338 to 795 of the family's 1533-position model. The record is from RNAcentral.